GGAGGCGUCCACGGUGAUGAUGGUGUAGGUGUACAGAGGCUCUCCUCCCUUUGGCGGCUCCCAGCAGUCGAAAAUCCCAGCCAUGGUGAGCAGACGCCAGCCCCGCCACUCCUCAUCGCUGUCCUCCUCCUCCUCAGCCGGGUGUUUCUUGUUCUGGGGGAAGUAGAUGAAGUAGGGCUGCUUGCCCCCGCCGCGCUGCUGCCACUCAUAGAAGCCAUCUGCCAGCACCACGCAGCGCUUGCCCUUGAGGAGAGGGCCCUUGUAGGAGGACUUGCUCAACAUGGUGUCGCUGCGGCAGUUGGAGGUCUUAAACUGCAUUUUGGAGGGGUCGUCCUCUUUGAACCAGGAGGGCACCAGGCCCCAGCGCAUGUCCAUGAGCACCCGCUCGGAAGAGUCAGCAUCCUGCUGGACGUGCUUGCGGGACAGCAGCACGGGGCCGGAGGACUGCGGGCCCUUGUUGUAGGAGGGCCGGUAGCGCCCCUCCCGCAGCCACUCGGGCUGCUGCCGCCGGCCCUGCCGGUCGCGAUAGGCGCAGGCCCGCCGCAGCCGGGCGGCCCCGAGCGAGCAGGCCGUGCGACCGCACAUCGCCUCCCGCCGCCGCGACGCGCCCGGACCGCCCCGCUCCGCUCCGCUCCGCCCCGCCGGGAUGGGCGGAGCGAAAUGGACGCCCGGGAGCAACGCCCGCCCGCUUCGACAGAGGGAGGAGGAGCAACGAGAGGCUUUAUUGUCAGCUCGGAGCGAUGGGAGGGUGCCGGGCUGGGGGCUGGGGAAACAACAGGGCUCGCAACCGCCCCCCCCCGGGGCAAAGCGUUUCGUAAAAUCGGAGCUUAAAAACACCGUUAUUUUACAGACAGAACCCCAAAUCCAGGUCCCCAUUGUACUGAAGAAACCGCUGCAGCGAACGUGAUCCCUUAUCCCGGUGGUGGCAGAGAGGAGGAAGCACCGCCCGACGGGGAGGCAGCGCUCAGCCCACGGAGGCCAUGAUCACAUCCACCGGGAGCUCCUCCGCGCUGCGGGCCGUGACCUGCAUCGUCACCGUGUCGGUCAGCAGCAGGCGAGCCCGCAGCAGCACGUCGUGGCCGCCCCGGAACACACCUGCCAGGUACAGAGUGUGGGAGUUCUUGUUGUCUGGCACUUUAUCCGAUCGCUCGCAGGGCUGCAUCCCCAGGAACUUCACGAUAUUGCUAACCGCCUCUUCAAGGGUUUUAAUUGCAGAUAAAGUAAAGGUUUCUUCCUUCUCGUACUCAUCACCCACUUCAUCCCAGGCAGCUCCAAAGUUGGGCUUCAGAACUCGCUGGAUGUGAUCAGCCACUGUUACCUCAAGAUCUUCAAGCACAUAUUCAUCCUCGUAACCCUCGUCGUCUGUCUCACCCGUGUUUGGAUCACAGUCCUUGACAGUAAAUUUCAUCAUGCAGCUGAACGUGCAGGCCACUGCUGUUGGAUCCUCUUCAGACAGUGCCACCAGAGUGUAGCAGGUGCCUGGCUGGUUGUACACCAGGCUUUUGGCAGGUAUGUAACCAAUGACCUCAUACCCCUCUGUUGGCUCCAUCUGCACAGUGACAUUCUCCAGGAUCUGAUCAUUCAGGGUGUUGGUACAGUCAAACUAAGCAGGGAAGGAGAGAACAAAGACAGCUUGAAGCUCUCAGUUAUAGAUGUAAUAGCAGAUUCACUUCACGCAUAGUGGGAGCAUGGUGUUAACUUGUGAAGUGUCUCUGUCUCAGCAGGGAGUCUGGCUCUGACAGGGUU
RNAcentral lists this long non-coding RNA (1746 nucleotides) under Gallus gallus (chicken). Lineage: Eukaryota; Metazoa; Chordata; Aves; Galliformes; Phasianidae. The record is from RNAcentral.